Molecule: non-coding RNA, 172 nt
Organism: Agrilus planipennis (emerald ash borer)
Lineage: Eukaryota; Metazoa; Arthropoda; Insecta; Coleoptera; Buprestidae
Source: Rfam
AGAUAGUCACACCGAAUUUAUUACAAACUUAUCUAUGCUAGAAACUUAGAUAUUUAGAACGGCCUGAGGUAGAGGGGUUUUAGUUUGUAGGUCCGAGGACUUCUUCCUCGGGAAUCCAACACUACCCAGUCGUACGGACGGCUGGGUGUCUUUUGAAGAUUUCCCCUCUUCC